GGGGAUUUAGCUCAGCAGCAUAAGCACCUGCCUUGCAAGCAGGCAGUUGUGAGUUCGAUCCCCAGAAUUUCCU
Cavia porcellus (domestic guinea pig) is the source of this 73-nucleotide transfer RNA. It matches the Rfam family "tRNA". Rfam says of the family: Transfer RNA (tRNA) molecules are approximately 80 nucleotides in length. NCBI's taxonomy places the organism in Eukaryota, Metazoa, Chordata, Mammalia, Rodentia, Caviidae. The record is from Rfam.